Molecule: ribosomal RNA, 1307 nt
Filed under: uncultured bacterium
Lineage: Bacteria
Description: bacterial SSU rRNA
Rfam family: Bacterial small subunit ribosomal RNA
Source: RNAcentral
GAUGAACGCUGGCGGCGUGCUUAACACAUGCAAGUCGAACGAACCUUCGGGUUAGUGGCGGACGGGUGAGUAACGCGUGAGAAUCUGCCCUCAGGAGGGGGAUAACAGCUGGAAACGGCUGCUAAUACCCCAUAUGCCGCGAGGUGAAAUGAAUUUCGCCUGAGGAUGAGCUCGCGUCUGAUUAGCUAGUUGGUGUAGGUAAUGGCUCACCAAGGCAUCGAUCAGUAGCUGGUCUGAGAGGAUGAUCAGCCACACUGGGACUGAGACACGGCCCAGACUCCUACGGGAGGCAGCAGUGGGGAAUUUUCCGCAAUGAGCGAAAGCCUGACGGAGCAACGCCGCGUGAGGGAUGAAGGCCUCUGGGCUGUAAACCUCUUUUAUCAAGGAAGAAGAUCUGACGGUACUUGAUGAAUAAGCCACGGCUAAUUCCGUGCCAGCAGCCGCGGUAAUACGGGAGUGGCAAGCGUUAUCCGGAAUUAUUGGGCGUAAAGCGUCCGCAGGCGGCCCUUCAAGUCUGCUGUUAAAAAGUGGAGCUUAACUCCAUCAUGGCAGUGGAAACUGAGGGGCUCGAGUGUGGUAGGGGCAGAGGGAAUUCCCCGGUGUAGCGGUGAAAUGCGUAGAUAUCGGGAAGAACACCAGUGGCGAAGGCGCUCUGCUGGGCCAUCACUGACGCUCAUGGACGAAAGCCAGGGGAGCGAAAGGGAUUAGAUACCCCUGUAGUCCUGGCCGUAAACGAUGAACACUAGGUGUCGGGGGAAUCGACCCCCUCGGUGUCGUAGCCAACGCGUUAAGUGUUCCGCCUGGGGAGUACGCACGCAAGUGUGAAACUCAAAGGAAUUGACGGGGGCCCGCACAAGCGGUGGAGUAUGUGGUUUAAUUCGAUGCAACGCGAAGAACCUUACCAGGGUUUGACAUCCUGCGAAUCUCUUGGAAACGAGAGAGUGCCUUCGGGAACGCAGUGACAGGUGGUGCAUGGCUGUCGUCAGCUCGUGUCGUGAGAUGUUGGGUUAAGUCCCGCAACGAGCGCAACCCACGUCUUUAGUUGCCAGCAUUUAGUUGGGCACUCUAGAGAGACCGCCGGUGAUAAACCGGAGGAAGGUGUGGAUGACGUCAAGUCAUCAUGCCCCUUACAUCCUGGGCUACACACGUACUACAAUGCUACGGACAAAGGGCAGCAAGUUCGCGAGGACAAGCAAAUCCCAUAAACCGUGGCUCAGUUCAGAUCGUAGGCUGCAACUCGCCUACGUGAAGGAGGAAUCGCUAGUAAUCGCAGGUCAGCAUACUGCGGUGAAUACGUUCCCGGGCCU